UGUUGGGAAAUCAAAUUUGCUUGCUAGAUUUGCUCGUGAUGAAUUCUAUCCCAACUCAAAAUCAACAAUUGGAGUAGAGUUCCAGACCCAAAAGCUGGACAUAAAUGGGAAGGAGGUCAAAGCGCAGAUAUGGGACACAGCAGGUCAAGAACGGUUUAGGGCAGUAACUUCUGCAUAUUACAGAGGUGCAGUUGGAGCUCUUCUGGUUUAUGAUAUUAGUAGACGGCUAACUUUCGAAAAUAUUGGUCGAUGGCUUAAUGAACUUCAGACUCAUUCUGACAUGAACGUGGUUACAAUACUCGUUGGAAAUAAAUCUGAUCUCAAAGAUGCGAGGGAGGUGACAACAGCUGAAGGCAAAUCCCUAGCAGAGGCACAAGGUCUAUUCUUUAUAGAAACAUCAGCUUUGGAUUCUUCAAAUGUAACUGCAGCUUUUCAAACAGUUGUUAAAGAGAUCUAUAAUAUCUUGAGCCGGAAAGUCAUGCAAUCGCAAGAACUUCAAAAAAAGGAUUCCGGGCGUCUGGCAAAUGGUAAAACUGUGGUUUUGCAGGCAGACGAAAACCAAGAAGCCGAGACACAAGCGAAAAAAGGUGGGUGCUGUUCAUCAUAAUCCCUGUUGUAAUUCUUUUGCUGUUGUUGCUUUUGAAAUAUUAUGGGGGGAAAAACAAACAAGUUUAGAUUGAUUUCUGUGCUAUGGGAAAACAAACUUCCAUUAGAAGGAAAAAAAAAAUGUAAAUUAUUCUAAGUGGAGAAGAACCCUUUUUUGAGCUG
RNAcentral lists this unclassified non-coding RNA (768 nucleotides) under Hevea brasiliensis (rubber tree). Lineage: Eukaryota; Viridiplantae; Streptophyta; Magnoliopsida; Malpighiales; Euphorbiaceae. The record is from RNAcentral.